This 498-nucleotide ribosomal RNA is filed under the name uncultured bacterium. RNAcentral describes it as "partial 16S ribosomal RNA". It matches the Rfam family "Bacterial small subunit ribosomal RNA", at positions 28 to 507 of the family's 1533-position model. The record is from RNAcentral.
GACGAACGCUAGCGGCGUGCCUAAUACAUGCAAGUCGAACGAGAGCGACCGGUGCUUGCACUGGUCAAUCUAGUGGCGAACGGGUGAGUAACACGUGGGUAACCUGCCCAUCAGAGGGGGAUAACAUUCGGAAACGGAUGCUAAAACCGCAUAGGUCUUCGAACCGCAUGGUUUGAAGAGGAAAAGAGGCGCAAGCUUCUUCUGAUGGAUGGACCCGCGGUGCAUUAGCUAGUUGGUGCGGUAACGGCUCACCAAGGCCGUGAUGCAUAGCCGACCUGAGAGGGUGAUCGGCCACAUUGGGACUGAGACACGGCCCAAACUCCUACGGGAGGCAGCAGUAGGGAAUCUUCCGCAAUGGACGCAAGUCUGACGGAGCAACGCCGCGUGAGUGAAGAAGGUUUUCGGAUCGUAAAACUCUGUUGUUAGAGAAGAAUAAGUGCUAGAGUAACUGUUAGCGCCUUGACGGUAUCUAACCAGAAAGCCACGGCUAACUACGUG